RNAcentral lists this long non-coding RNA (356 nucleotides) under Hordeum vulgare. RNAcentral describes it as "long non-coding RNA (HVUL_LNC005806)". The record is from RNAcentral. Lineage: Eukaryota; Viridiplantae; Streptophyta; Magnoliopsida; Poales; Poaceae.
GGAUAGUUAUGAGGGCAGCAGCUGUAGUGAUCAUCGCAGCAGGUAGCACCCUCAAGUGGGCAACAGCCCCAGGCGAAGCACUCCUUGCCGUACUCGUAGAUGCAGCAGCAGGUCGUGCUCGCAGGGCACUCGUUGUAGCUGUCACAGACGGAAGACGGUGGGGCGGGAGACGGUGGAGUUGGGCCGGGGUUAGGGGGGUUCUCGCCCGUCUUCGUCGGGUAGGAAGGCUCGACAGCAAUACCACAUUUGCCACUGGAUGCCUUGAUGUUACGCUCCAUCCGGAUGUAACCAUCCUCUCCCCAGACGCUACCCCAGGAGUUCCUGACGAGCCAGUAGUCCUUGCCAUUCUCUGUACC